ACGACAGCCUGGUCUCCUACCUGGACAAGGUGCGUGCCCUGGAGGAGGCCAACGCUGACCUGGAGGUGAAGAUCCAUGACUGGUACCAGUGGCAGCGGCCUGCUAAGAUCAAAGACUACAGUCCCUACUUCAAGACCAUCGAGGAUCUGAGGAACAAGAUCCUCACGGCCACAGUGGACAAUGCCAAUGUCCUUCUGCAGAUUGACAACGCCCGUCUGGCCGCAGAUGACUUCCGCACCAAGCGAGUUUGCAGUGGUGGGCCAGAACAUCCAGUGUCCCCAAAGUAUGAGACAGAGUUGAACCUGCGCAUGAGUGUGGGGGCCGACAUCAAUGGCAUGCGCCAGGUGCUGGGGUGCUGGACGAACUGACCCUGGCCAGAGCUGACCUGGAGAUGCAGAUUGAGAGCCUGAAGGAGGAGCUGGCCUAACUGAAGAAGAACCAUGAGGAGUGCAGGAGAUGAAUGCCCUGAGAGGCCAGGUGGGUGGAGAUGUCAAUGUGGAGAUGGACGAUGCACCUGGUGUGGACCUGAGCCACAUUCUGAACGAGAUGCGUGACCAGUACGAGAAGAU
This 569-nucleotide long non-coding RNA is filed under the name Homo sapiens (human). Its description in RNAcentral is "non-protein coding lnc-TNFRSF13B-4:2". The stretch from base 113 to 228 matches the Rfam family "mir-492 microRNA precursor family". Lineage: Eukaryota; Metazoa; Chordata; Mammalia; Primates; Hominidae. The record is from RNAcentral.